UGACGAGUGGCGCACGGGUGCGGAACGCGUAUGGAACCUGCCCCUGUCAGGGGAAUAGCCCAGAGAAAUUUGGAUUAAUGCCCCAUGGUAUCUUAUCGUUGCAUGACGAAGAGAUUAAAGAUUUAUCGGACAGGGAUGGCCAUGCGUACCAUUAGCUGGUUGGUGAGGUAACGGCUUACCAAGGCAACGAUGGUUAGGGGCCCUGAGAGGGGGAUCCCCCACACUGGUACUGAGACACGGACCAGACUCCUACGGGAGGCAGCAGUGAGGAAUAUUGGACAAUGGCCGAAAGGUUGAUCCAGCCAUGCCGCGUGCAGGAUGACUGCCCUAUGGGUUGUAAACUGCUUUUAUACGGGAAGAAACCUGUCCACGUGUGGACAGCUGACGGUACCGUAAGAAUAAGGACCGGCUAACUCCGUGCCAGCAGCCGCGGUAAUACGGAGGGUCCGAGCGUUAUCCGGAAUCAUUGGGUUUAAAGGGUCCGUAGGCGGGCCUGUAAGUCAGGGGUGAAAGGCCACGGCUCAACCGUGGGACUGCCCUUGAUACUGCAGGUCUUGAGUUAUGGUGGGGUUGCCGGAACAUGUGGUGUAGCGGUGAAAUGCAUAGAUAUCACAUAGAACACCGAUCGCGAAGGCAGGUGACCAACCAUAUACUGACGCUGAUGGACGAAAGCGUGGGUAGCGAACGGGAUUAGAUACCCCGGUAGUCCACGCCGUAAACGAUGGAUACUAGCUGUCGGGUCUUCGGACUCGGCGGCCAAGCGAAAGUGAUAAGUAUCCCACCUGGGGAGUACGUUCGCAAGAAUGAAACUCAAAGGAAUUGACGGGGGCCCGCACAAGCGGUGGAGCAUGUGGUUUAAUUCGAUGAUACGCGAGGAACCUUACCAGGGCUUAAAUGCGGGCUGCAUGGGACAGAGACGUCCCUUUCUUCGGACCGCCCGCAAGUGCUGCAUGGUUGUCGUCAGCUCGUGCCGUGAGGUGUCA
Molecule: ribosomal RNA, 983 nt
Filed under: uncultured bacterium
Lineage: Bacteria
Description: bacterial SSU rRNA
Rfam family: Bacterial small subunit ribosomal RNA
Source: RNAcentral